UUGUGUGUGCUGCGCAUGGUACGGACAGUGAUCCUUGGUAAGCCAGGCUCUGCUGCAGGCAGAGAACCAGCCAGAACAGCCCUGUCCUGAUGCAUGGUGCAGCCAGGGGAGAAGGGAACGGGACAAAACUGCUCGUCUUUCCUAGACCUUACAUUUCCUUUGAAGGAGGAAAUCUCUGCUGUACCCAUGGAAUGAGAAGGACUUGGAUGCAGCACUAAGACUUCUCUCUUCAUCCCUCAUGAGCAGGUCCUGUGUUAUGUGGAAGCCUGCAGCGGUCGGGUCUGGAUGAAGAAAAUACCUCAGAAAACCCAAGAGGAAUACUUGCUUUGAAAGUUACUCUCAUGAGAUUAUUUUAUCUUUCUAAUAAAAAAAUUGAUUUAAAAAUAAAAUAAUGAUAAAUCAUGCUGGGGAAACCAAUUCCAAUAUGAUAAAACUCCUACAGUGUGAGGCAAGAACCACUCAAUCAACUGCAAGGAGAAAGGCAUGUUAUUUAAUCAAACACAGGGUUAGAGAACAGCAUCAAAUAUGCAUUUUUGGUAUUUGUUUCCAUUUUUUCUAGUAGAUUUCUGACUGGAUUUCUUUGGUUAUUGCAUAGACUUGAGUUACAUCUUGUGCAUCUUGUGAAAGAAGAUAGAUAUCCUAAUAGAGCUUUCGAAUAUAGUUAAAAUUACUUCAGCAAGGCUACAGUAGGUCAGUGGCAGAGCUAGGAAAAGAAGUUAGGCAAUGUUUUGCCCAGUUCUGUAUAUUUUAAUUAGCAAACUGGCCUCCCUCCCUGAAUUACAAUGGCAUUGUGAUACCUAAAUGUUCAGAAGUCUAAGCUUUAUAUACUAACCCUAACACAGAGAAUUUCUUGAACAGACUUUAAGAAAUAUAUUGCUAUAGCUUCUUUACCAGUUGUGCCCUAACCUGCUUUUUGCAUGGUAUUCAAGGAUAAUUUUGACAACAGAAUUAUCUUUAGGGAAUAUAAAAUACCAGGGAUUAAAAGGGACAGAUUUAGACAGAGCAGGAAUUUGCCAGCAGGACGAUGUUCUAAAACAACUUCUGAAAAAUUAACACAUUAUGGAAAUAAGUUAAUUUUUUUAACAUUGUGCUCUUUUAUUUUUCUUUUAGAAAAGAAAAUGAAGCCUUCCAUUAUAGGACUAUUUAGUUUUGAGUAAAUUGUGUGUUUCCCUUUUGUGGUGUAUUUCUCUAGUGAAUUUAUUUUUUGCAUGCCUAUUGCUCCCAGUUUCUGCUGGUCUGAGCUUGCUUGCCAGCUGGUAUUUGCCACUAAGACUCAGAAUCAUGAGGUUUUCUUUGAGAAGCUUGGUACAUUAUGGCAGCCAUUGUCCCACAGAAGAGGAUGAAGGAUGCAGACAGUUACUCCUGUGGGUCUCAUGAGAAAUGCAAUAGUGAAAGAGCCCAGCAAAUUGAAACAAUAUUUUUCAAUUCAUGAAUACUAAAAAUUCGAAUGUCUUCCCAAAAUAAACCCAAAGUUUUAUUUCUUAUUCUUUAAAAAAUUCUUUAAAAAAAAUUCUUUAAAAAAAUCCCAACAAAACAGCUGAUAUUUACUUAAUCAUCCCAAGUUAGGAAAAAAAUGUUGAAUAAAAAUGUUUUUUAUAAGAUUACAUUUCCAUAUUUUUUUCAGCUCUAAUUAUGAUAAGGUUGUACAAGGAUUAAUUUUAUUCUUUCUUUGUCUCAUCCUUUUUCCAUCCUAGACAAUGAAAAUAGUUUAAUCUAGCAGUUUUUACAUUGUGGUCUGUGCACCAGAGCUGGCUUGUAAAACUUUUUCUUUCAGUGGUUUUAUUGUUCAAGAACUGAUGCUUCCUGUUACUUCUGGCCAUGCAUUUUGGUUUUGUGAAUGAGUAUUCUUAGAUAAAAGAAUAAUACUAAUCAAGUAUAUACCUUUUGUACAGCUUUAUGUUAUCAUUAAAUAAAAAUGAUACCAGAACUGCAGAGGUAACAACUCUUCUGAAAGGCUGAGUCAACACGAAAAAGAACAGUUAGCAGUGAAUAAGAGAAAUAUGGGAUACCUUCACUUCAGAUAUUCAGUAAGGAAGAGGAAACA
This is a long non-coding RNA of Pyrgilauda ruficollis (rufous-necked snowfinch), 2044 nucleotides long. RefSeq lists it as uncharacterized. The record is from RefSeq and is a predicted model, not a curated record. Lineage: Eukaryota; Metazoa; Chordata; Aves; Passeriformes; Passeridae. The transcript has 3 exons.